RNAcentral lists this ribosomal RNA (855 nucleotides) under Cryptosporidium parvum. RNAcentral describes it as "SSU rRNA". It matches the Rfam family "Eukaryotic small subunit ribosomal RNA", at positions 208 to 1064 of the family's 1831-position model. The record is from RNAcentral. Lineage: Eukaryota; Apicomplexa; Conoidasida; Eucoccidiorida; Cryptosporidiidae.
UAUUAGUGAUAAGCACAUAUUGUUGACUCAUAAUAAUUAUUACGGAUCACCUUAAAUGUGACAUCUCAUUCUAGAGUUUCUGACCUACUCAUCUUUAGUACGGUAGUGUAGUGUCGGCCUGCCGUGGCAAUGACGGGUAGUGGGGAAUUAGGGUUUGUUUCUUGAGAGGGAGCAUCUGAAGAAACUGCUACCUCAUCUAUGAGGACGGCAGCAGGCGCGCAACUUAUUCAAUCCUCAUACAGGGAGGUAGUGCAACAAGAAAUAACAAUAGCAGGACUUUUUGGUUUUUUAAUUGGAAUGAAGUUAAGUAUAAUCCCCCCCUUUACAAGUCAUCAAUUGGAGGGCAAGUCUAGUGUGCCAGCAGCCGCGGUAAUUCUAUCUGCAAUAGCAGUAUAUUAAAGUUGUUGCAGUUAAAAAGCUGGUAGUUGGAGGUUUCUGUUAAUAAUUUAUAUAAAUAUAUUUUGAAGAUUAUUUAUAUAAUAUUAUACAUUCUUCUUAUUACUAUAUAUUUUAUUAUAUGAAAUAUUUUCUUUGAGAAAAUUAUGAGUGCUUAAAGCAGGCAUAUGCGCCUUGAAUACUCCUGCAUGGAAGUAAUAUUAAAGAUUUUUAUCUUUCUUGUUGGUUCUAAGAUAAUAAUGAUGAUUAAUAGGGACUGUUGGGGGUUUUUGUUUUUAACAGUCAUAGGUGAAGAUCUUCUUAGAUAGUUGUUAAAGACAAACUAACUGCUGAAAGCAUCUGUUGCCGAGGAUGUCUUUCAUUCAUCAAGAACGAAAUGUUAGGGGAUCAACGAAGACGAUCAUAUACCGUCGUAGUCUAUCUUCAUACAUCUAUGAUGCCUACAAAUGUAGGAUAUCA